Molecule: long non-coding RNA, 5540 nt
Organism: Equus asinus (donkey)
Lineage: Eukaryota; Metazoa; Chordata; Mammalia; Perissodactyla; Equidae
Source: Ensembl
GCUGGAGCAAGGACCGGAGGGGCAGGGAGGAACUGGGCCUGUAGGGGCAAGAUGAGGCUGAUUCGGUUGGAUGGCACCAGAUGCAGAAGGAUCCUGAACACGCAAAUUUGAACUUGAUCUUAGAGGUAGACACUGAGGUUUCCUGGGAACCAGGAGAGGCUGGGCCAGGGUGGAACAGAACGUCAGACUUAAGUGGGCUCGUGGAAAUCAUCUACUCCCUAGACGAUUUACUGAAGAGGAAACUAAGGCCCAAAUGGGGACAGAGACUUGCCCAAGGCCACCCAGCCAGGGGUGCAGAGCUGGGCCAGAGCUCUGACUGCCUGGGAUCUUGUCUCCAGUCCUAUGGGGAAUAAACUGAGAACCGAUGUGCAAGGACCUGACUCCUGAGACCCUCCCAAGGCAUCUGGAAACCUCACUGGGGCCUCAGUGCCCCCUGGGGCCCGCAGAUCCGUUACUUCUCUGAGUUCUGUGGGAAAAUGAAAAGCUUCCAAAGCCGAUGAGGCAAAUACAUGCAAAAGAGAUGCAAAUACAAAGCUGAGAGUCCCCAUUUAAAACCUGUCUGGGUAUCGGGUGUUGCUUCUCUCCUCCCUGCUCUGCCGGAUUCAUCUAAAUUUACUGGCCCUGAGCUAACAGCCGUGCCCAUCUGCCUCUACUUUAUAUGUGGGACUCCUACCACAGCAUGGCGUGCCAAGCGGUGCCAUGUUGGCACCCAGGAUCCGAACCGGCGAACCCUGGGCCACUGAAGCAGAAUGUGCGCACUCAACUGCUGCGCCACCGGGCCGGCCCUGGGAGCAUUCUUUAUGGUUAAGUACUGUUUCCUGGGCUUCUGAGUGCCCUCUGGGAAAGCUCAGGGUCACUGUCUAGGAUAGGGGAGGGCAGACUCUAGGGAGAAGUGGCCUGGGGAGGGGUGCUGGGGGGAGGGGUGCUGGGGCAGGAUGAGCUGGGGGGUUCUGCUCUGAGUCUAAGACAGGGGCUGUAGACCCCAAAGGAAACCUCCCAGGUGUUGGCCUGGAAACCCCCUUUGGGGCCAACUGUAAGCCAUUCCUGCACUCAGUGCCACCACUGCCCUGAGGAAUUCCUGUAGGAGCCACCCGGCUGGUGAGGCACUCAACCUCCGGGGACCUGGGUCUCCUCAUGUGAAAACACAAGUGACAGUGUGAGGAAACCACCGUGCAAUGCUGAGUGGAAGCUGUCCAGGUGGGAGUGCUGGCCAGGUGGGGUCGUCCCUGGCCCUGGGGGCCCUGGUUCAUCUCCUUCCGGUGGUGACCUCAGGACAAGAAGAGAGUACGAGAAGGACGGUCAUGAGAUUUGAACGAGAUAUGAGCGUACAAGGAAGUACUUUGUAAGAAUGAGACAGCAAACAAGUUAAAGUACAGACGGAAAGAUACAGAGAGUGAAGAAGUCAAAGAGAAAAGCUACGGUGCUCUGGUUUCCAUUCACUUCAGUGCAGUUCCUUUCAACACAGUUGGUUGUAAUUCAGGUCAGUGAGUGUGUAUGGCAAGACUGUCCCCAUCCUAAGCUGGGCUUUGGGGGUAAUUUGAAAAGGACUUAGCCUCACCCUCAGGGAGUGAGGGUGACCAAACUCCAGGCCUGAACCAGAACAAGAUGGGCAGUGUUUGUGACGUGGGUCAGCAGGUCAGGGCCGCAGGUCAGUGGGGAGGAGGCAGAAGCAAGGAGGGAGGACAGUGUGAGCCGGAGGGUCAGAGCAGCCUUCAGGGGUGAGGCGGGGCAGGGAGCAUCCUGAGAGGUGAGUAGGAGUUGGGUGUGUGGAGGGAGGGAGGAGUCCGGCGUGUAUGCUCGCACGUACCCAGGGGCAUUCAAGCACAUAAGCAGACUGUGCAAGGGUGUACGUGAAUCACGCUUACACACUCACACAUGGACGCACACAGUCACCCAUGGGCACGUGGACACACACAGGCACAACCUUGGGCAUGCCAGAGCCUCCUCUCCCACGUCCCCCAGGCGGGGCGGGAGACAGGCAGGAAGAGGACAGAGGGACCAGGUGGAGGCAGGCCUGGGGACAGCAGGCACAGCUUCCGAAAGGAGGAGGGUGUGCAGCUGGCUUUUAGGAGGGAGGGAUUCAAGAGGCAGAGAGAAGUCUUUGGGGGGCUACUGGAGCCCAAGGAACCAAGCUCCCAGGCCCUCUCUGGCUGCCACCCCCACAUCCCACGCUCAGGCUGGGACCAGACUCCCAGAGCCACAAAGCAGCCAGGGGAUACUCCUCAGAAAUUGGUCUGAGGGUUAAUAGAAAUAGAAUUCUGUCCUGCCUGGAGGAUGGAACUGGGGGUGAUGGUCGGGGUGGGGGGUGGUCAGGGAAGGUUUUGAAUGUCCAGCCGUCCUGGAGCAAUGGGAAGGCAGCGAAGCUCAUGAGUGCAACUCUGACAACACUAAGUCUGAGCUUUGAGCUUUAGCAGCAAAGAGCAGACCUUGCUGGAGGGAGAAAGCCAGGCGGAAGGCUUUCCAAGGGUCAGGAGCCCAGCAGGAGGCAGGCCUGGGGGCUCUGGGCUUGGGUGGGCAGGGGGCUGGCCCGAGACCAGCAGGGAGGAGGAAGUGCUGAAUCUUCAUCUGGGGGUCCUUCUCCCUGGCUGGACUCAGAACACACCCUCUAUGAAUCUGCAUCCUGGGAGCCUUUGGGUGCCCUCUCUGAGGCCCCUUCCAGCCCCUACAUUCUGUGGGUUUGGCCCGGCAACCUUGGACAGAUGACAUCACUUCUCCUGCCUCCAUUUUCUCAUCUGUCAAGUGAGCAUAGGAAUUCCUGUGCACCCUGGGAUGUGCAAGGCCCAAAGGGAUGCCCUGGUGCUUUUCUGGCCAAGUUUGGGCCAAGGGUCAGGCAGGGAGGUUCAGGGCAGGGAAGGACCCAGGCCACAGCUUCACCUCUAUCUUCCUGGGGUGGCCCCUCAGCUUAUCUGAGUCAGGCCAGGGCAGGGGUAGGCAAGGAGGAGAUCCUCCUCCAGCGGCCAGAUAGUGUGAGGGGGUGAUAAAGGGCGCAGGCCCAGAAAUUGGCUUAGGGAGCGUGGGACAAGCGAGGCUGUCACUUCCCUGCCCCCCUUGCCCCACCUCCAGGGCACCCUCCAGGCCAGCCCCAGCCUUCCCCCAUGCCUCCCACCACCCCCAUGGGGCAGAAGGAGGGAGAGGAGGCCACAGGAACUGGCGUUUGAAGGUUGGUGGUGCCCUUUGUACACAGUGUCAGGGGACUGAUAGGGGCAGAGGCCAGGCUACAGGGGAAAGGCAGGGUGACCAACUUGUCCCCGUUUGUCAGGACCUUCCCAGUUUUAAUGCUGAAUGCCUGUCCUAGGAAACCCCUCAUCCUGAACAAAUCAGGAUGCUUUGCCUAGGACUGUCCAGGUUGUAAAACUGAAAGUCCCUUAUUCAUCCCAGGAACCCCCAGUCAGUCCCAGAGAAACGGGGGCAGUUGGUCAUCCUACAAGUAAAGGAGUAAGUCUGGGGGGGUGCUAGGAUGCGAGGAGCAGAUAGCUCCUGUCUGAGUUUCUGUAGCCCUGGUUCUUAACCCUGCCUACUUGUCCUCAGCGCACACCCUGUGUGAGGGAACCGCUCAGGUUUUAUCUCCAGCCCAGGGGUCUGGAGGUCACUAGAGGGCUUCGUAGCUGGGCUGAGGCUGGGACGGGUGGAGAGUCCAUGUGAGGAUCCUUGGUGUCUGAUGCUCUGCCCUCCAGGAGCCUGCAGAGGCAGAGACUGGGCUUGGCUUGGUGCCUCACAAAUGGCAGCUCUGGUUAGUGAGCUGCUACGGGACCACGGAUGAAACCAGCAGCCACAUCUCUGAGAUCAGAAAUUGAUGAAAAUCAGAGUCAGGGCCUGGCUUUUGGGGUCCAGUCAGAAUGCUCUGCUCAGAGUCCCUGUCCCCAUGCCGCUCUCAGGGCCCCAGCUUGCUUGGCCCUGCCGUGCCUGGGCUUCUGAGAGCAGAGCACGUUCUGGGGAGAGGACAGGAAAGCAGUCAGGUGGGUGGGGGAUAGUCAGGGACACCUCCCUAGAGAGGACUCAGACAGGACAGGGAUGUCUGAAUGGGGGCUUUGUACAGCGUGCAGUUCAGGUCUAGGCUCCCUGCCUCCUAGCCUGGGGACUUGGUUUCAUCCCACACUCACCCCUAAAAAAGGAUGGACUUUCCUUACCUGGAAUAUGGAAAUCCCAGAGACCCUUGGCCCCAGCACCUCCGUUCUCAGAGGGAGACUGGGCAGUCAAGAUGGGACCAAAGCCCAAUGGGGAUGAUGAGAGCAGGGCCUGGGGGACAAAACAGAGCACCCUGAAGGGAAAGGCCGCAGACCUUCUGUUGGAGGAUGGGCCCAAAGGGAUGAGAGAGGAAAAUCCUGUCCCGAGCAGCCCCUAGGACAGCUCCCUAUAGAUAUGCUCAACCAGCCCAUCAGGAGGUUGGCCCAGCCUCCUCGGGCUGCUCUAGGGUCUCCUGGGCCCUUGUGACAGAGUGUGGUCCUCCGAUGGGCAUCAUCUGGGACCCUGUUAGAAAUGCAGACUCUCAGACCCCACUCUAGACCUACUGGAGCAGAACCCUCUUUUUGACAAAGCCGGCAGGUGUGGUUGGAGAAGUACUGCUCCAGAGUCUUCCCCUCUCUGGAUAAGCCUUUCAGAGAAGGUAUUUGAGAGACUCUCUGUUUCUCAGGCUCUGCGGAAUGUCUGAACCAGAUGCCCGCAGAGCAACCAUUUCUAGACCUGAUGGAGACUCUGCCCCACUUCCCCUCCCAGGGAUCCCUGAGUUGGAGGGGUGGGCAAGGUCUGUUAGUGAAGCCAGCUGUGGUCUUGCUGCCAACAUCCGGGUUGGCGGAUGGGCAAAGGUGAGCUGAUCACGUUCUAACUCUAGGCUCUGUUGCUUCCAGAAAGUCUUCCUCGCCCCUCUGCUCCCUCAGCCCACCAGAAGUAGGUGUCUGCUUAUAGCUCGCCUCAUUUUACCCGUAUCAGGCCCUAUGCCUUCCCAGGACCCGCCUCCCCCAUGGUGCCGUUCUGGUCACCUCUGAACCACCAAGGCCUCCCAGGUAGUGUGCUCAGCAGACGUCUGGAAGAUUAAUGUGUGGUCAGCCACAGGACCCCCAACAGUGACCAUGAAGUUCCAGACAGGUGGAGGCCCUGGGGAGAGGGGCUGGUAAGGGAGCUCAAGCAGGGGCCCAGAGGCCAGUCUAGCUGUCCUAGGGGACAGACAGCGGGAGUGCUCCGGGUGGGUGAUUCCGGGGCAUUUGGGUCUCUAACUCAGCCUUCCCCGCCCUCCCACACCAGACUCGGCCACGAGACCAAACUGUGUGAACAAAUGGUGCUGAUGGUCCAGGGGCCGGGACGGAAUCCCCCCAGACAGCCUGGCCAAAGGGUGCAGUCUCCUACUUCCCAGGACUGCUUGAGGGAGACAGGACAAGCAUCCCCGUUAUACAGAAGAAGAAACUGAAGUCAAGGGUGAAAUCGGGCAAGUUCCUGAACCUCGCUGAGCCUGUUUCCUGUCUGUCAGAUGGGGCGGCGCCAUCUGUCUGUUCGGGGAGUAAGCCCCACCAAGCAUGUAAAGCACCAACUAAUGCAGUGACCAGCCC